GAGGAAGAGAACCCAGGUGACGCGGAGGACUCGAUGGGGUUUCGUCGGCGGCUGAGAAAAGAAUACGUAGUUGAGGAACAUAACCCCGGUGACACGGAGGACUUGACGACGUUUCGUCGGCGGCCGGCAAAAGAACACGUAGUGGAAGAGACAAGCCCUGAGGAGAGUCCUGAUGAACGAUACCCGAGCCAACGCCACAACUGUAAUUCAUAAUUGGAGUACCUUUUUCUGGUGAGGGAUGUGUUUGAAGGUAUUGGCGAGAUGGAACAGCUUUUGGGGUCGUGCUUUGGAAACCUUUCCAGGUUGCCAGU
This is a long non-coding RNA of Raphanus sativus (radish), 311 nucleotides long. RefSeq lists it as uncharacterized. Lineage: Eukaryota; Viridiplantae; Streptophyta; Magnoliopsida; Brassicales; Brassicaceae. The record is from RefSeq and is a predicted model, not a curated record. The transcript has 3 exons.